This 465-nucleotide ribosomal RNA is filed under the name uncultured bacterium. RNAcentral describes it as "partial 16S ribosomal RNA". It matches the Rfam family "Bacterial small subunit ribosomal RNA", at positions 338 to 795 of the family's 1533-position model. The record is from RNAcentral.
CCUACGGGAGGCAGCAGUGGGGAAUAUUGCGCAAUGGGCGAAAGCCUGACGCAGCGACGCCGCGUGAGGGAUGAAGGUCUUCGGAGCGGAAACCUCUGUCAGCAGGGAAGAACGGUCACUGUGCUAAUCAGCAGUGAAUUGACGGUACCUGCAAAGGAAGCACCGGCUAACUCCGUGCCAGCAGCCGCGGUAAUACGGAGGGUGCGAGCGGUAAUCGGAAUUACUGGGCGUAAAGCGCUCGUAGGGGGGAUGUCAAGUCAAGGGUGAAAUUCCCGCGCUCAACGUGGGAACUGCCUUUGAAACUGGCAAACUUGAGUGGGUGAGAGGAAAGUGGAAUUCGAGGUGUAGGAGUGAAAUCCGUAGAUAUCUGGAGGAACAUCAGUGGCGAAGGCGACUAUCUGGCACAUAACUGACGCUGAGGAGCGAAAGCGUGGGUAGCAAACAGGAUUAGAUACCCUGGUAGUC